RNAcentral lists this long non-coding RNA (1022 nucleotides) under Podarcis muralis (Common wall lizard). RNAcentral's name for it is "lncRNA (ENSPMRG00000019706.1)". The record is from RNAcentral. Lineage: Eukaryota; Metazoa; Chordata; Lepidosauria; Squamata; Lacertidae.
AUGUCAUUUCCCUGCCUCUCUUGAGUAGGAAGGAGCAUAGAGUAUUUCCUGUUCCUUUCUUUCUCUCCCUCCUUUUCUCUUUGACCAGCAAUGGAAGCAGAUGGAUAUCCAAUUGCUCCGGUUGAGGCACAUGCAUGAGGCUGCUUUUACUGUAAAUUCAGUCUUUUGCCUGCAUUUAUUUUACUGCUGUUGCUGCUGAGAACAAAUGUGUGACUAAGAACACUGAGCAGCAACAAGAGGAGGAGGAUUCCUGCUGCACCUCCGGCUCCAGCUCCAAUUCCGGCUCCAAUUCCAGCUCCAGGACUUCCACUGUCAGUUUCUGGCUGCUUGUCACGUUCUGGUUUAAGAGGAACAGGAAAAGGAAGACCCCCUUGGUGGUCUGUGGAAUGAAACAGGCAGGCAAGAUUCUGCUGCUGCACAGGGCUUCAUUUGAGGGUAUGGCUGACACCCCAAACUUUUGCUCAUGCCCAGGUUCCAAUUUCAAGAAAAUUAGCAUGGAUAUAGGACCAGUGGGUAGUGAAUCAUCAAGUCGUUUUGAUAACUGGUCAUUAAGUUGUUUUGUAUUUUAUGGCUUUGCUAGCCACUUUGAGACUUGUGGGAAAUGAUGGGGGUUUUAUACCUAGAAAGUGGAAGUGGGAGCAGUGGAGACACAUUCACUGUCCCUCAGUCUUUCAAAACAUCCAUCAACUCAUCAGCGAUAACAGAGCUGAGUCCCCAGAAACAGCUAUUUAUUUGUUAUGUAUGAAACUGAAAAUAGAACUUGCAACCUGCUGAGAAAUGUUCUCUGCUCCCCCACAACAGUGGGGACUUUGAGCAAGAAGGGGGAGGGCAGAGGAUGGAGCAAUUGGAAGCUCUUAACAUCUGGUUUGGGUCAAAAGUGACCCAGAAUUUCUAUCUUUCUACAACUGGAAAAUUUUCUUUUCAUUUUCUUUUAUACCCCUGUACACUUCACACCUAUCAGUUCCAAACACCUUUGCAUCUCAUUCCCUGUAGAAAGGAAAUCAGGGGGGGGAAAUGAUUCU